Molecule: ribosomal RNA, 407 nt
Filed under: uncultured bacterium
Lineage: Bacteria
Description: partial 16S ribosomal RNA
Rfam family: Bacterial small subunit ribosomal RNA
Source: RNAcentral
AUUGAACGCUGGCGGCAGGCCUAACACAUGCAAGUCGAGCGGAGCGGCGGACGGGUGAGUAAUGCCUAGGAAUCUGCCUGGUAGUGGGGGAUAACGUCCGGAAACGGGCGCUAAUACCGCAUACUAUUGGAGCGGCCGAUAUCGGAUUAGCUAGUUGGUGGGGUAAAGGCUCACCAAGGCAACGAUCCGUAGCUGGUUUGAGAGGACGACCAGCCACACUGGGACUGAGACACGGCCCAGACUCCUACGGGAGGCAGCAGUGGGGAAUUUUGGACAAUGGGCGAAAGCCUGAUCCAGCCAUGCCGCGUGUGUGAAGAAGGUCUUCGGAUUGUAAAGCACUUUAAGUUGGGAGGCGUUACCAACAGAAUAAGCACCGGCUAACUUCGUGCCAGCCGCCGCGGUAAUUC